UGGGGAAUAUUGGACAAUGGGGGAAACCCUGAUCCAGCGAUGCCGCGUGUGUGAAGAAGGCCUGCGGGUUGUAAAGCACUUUCAGUAGGGAGGAGGAUUAUCAGGUUAAGAGCUAGAUAAUUGGACGUUACCUACAGAAGAAGCACCGGCUAACUCCGUGCCAGCAGCCGCGGUAAUACGGAGGGUGCGAGCGUUAAUCGGAAUUACUGGGCGUAAAGGGUGCGUAGGUGGUCAAUUAAGUUAUCUGUGAAAAACCUGGGCUUAACCUAGGGAGGUCAGAUGAAACUGAUAGACUCGAGUAUAGGAGAGGGUAGUGGAAUUUCCGGUGUAGCGGUGAAAUGCGUAGAGAUCGGAAGGAACACCAGUGGCGAAGGCGGCUACCUGGCCUAAUACUGACACUGAGGCACGAAAGCGUGGGUAGCAAACAG
RNAcentral lists this ribosomal RNA (428 nucleotides) under uncultured bacterium. RNAcentral describes it as "bacterial SSU rRNA". It matches the Rfam family "Bacterial small subunit ribosomal RNA", at positions 355 to 775 of the family's 1533-position model. The record is from RNAcentral.